This 179-nucleotide small nuclear RNA is filed under the name Acyrthosiphon pisum (pea aphid). RNAcentral describes it as "U2 spliceosomal RNA". It matches the Rfam family "U2 spliceosomal RNA". From Rfam's summary of the family: U2 is a small nuclear RNA (snRNA) component of the spliceosome (involved in pre-mRNA splicing). Lineage: Eukaryota; Metazoa; Arthropoda; Insecta; Hemiptera; Aphididae. The record is from Rfam by way of RNAcentral.
ACCGUAUCCUAGAUUAAAUAUAGUAUAUAGUAUAAUAUACUAUAUUUAAUCUAUGAUCGUGAAUAAAUAUGUGUGAGCUAAUGUCAAAUUUUUCUAAAGUGGUGUAGAUUUUGGGGCUUGCUCCUGCUUCACCACGGGUUGGCCCGGUAUUGCACUACCACCGGGACGGCCCAAAUAAU